This 259-nucleotide ribosomal RNA is filed under the name uncultured prokaryote. Its description in RNAcentral is "partial 16S ribosomal RNA". It matches the Rfam family "Bacterial small subunit ribosomal RNA", at positions 524 to 782 of the family's 1533-position model. The record is from RNAcentral.
UACGGAGGAUGCGAGCGUUAUCCGGAUUUAUUGGGUUUAAAGGGUGCGUAGGCGGAAAUGUAAGUCAGUGGUGAAAUCCUGCAGCUUAACUGUAGAAUAGCCGUUGAAACUGUGUUUCUUGAGUACAUUUGAGGUAGGCGGAAUGUGGUGUGUAGCGGUGAAAUGCAUAGAUAUACCACAGAACACCGAUUGCGAAGGCAGCUUACUAAACUGUCACUGACGCUGAUGCACGAAAGCGUGGGUAUCAAACAGGAUUAGA